RNAcentral lists this ribosomal RNA (253 nucleotides) under uncultured bacterium. Its description in RNAcentral is "partial 16S ribosomal RNA". It matches the Rfam family "Bacterial small subunit ribosomal RNA", at positions 524 to 776 of the family's 1533-position model. The record is from RNAcentral.
UACAGAGGUCUCAAGCGUUGUUCGGAUUCAUUGGGCGUAAAGGGUGUGUAGGUGGCGCGCUAAGUCGGGUGUGAAAUUUCGGAGCUUAACUCCGAAACUGCAUUCGAUACUGGCGUGCUUGAGGACUGGAGAGGAGACUGGAAUUUACGGUGUAGCGGUGAAAUGCGUAGAUAUCGUAAGGAAGACCAGUGGCGAAGGCGGGUCUCUGGACAGUUCCUGACGCUGAGGCACGAAGGCCAGGGGAGCGAACAGG